CCCACGCCGAAAGACCAAGGUUUCCUGCGCAACGUUAAUCGACGCAGGGUUAGUCGGUCCCUAAGGCGAGGCUGAAAAGCGUAGUCGAUGGAAAACAGGUUAAUAUUCCUGUACUUCUGGUUAUUGCGAUGGAGGGACGGAGAAGGCUAGGCCAGCUUGGCGUUGGUUGUCCAAGUUUAAGGUGGUAGGCUGAGAUCUUAGGUAAAUCCGGGAUCUUAAGGCCGAGAGCUGAUGACGAGUUACCCUUUGGGUGACGAAGUGGUUGAUGCCAUGCUUCCAAGAAAAGCUUCUAAGCUUCAGGUAACCAGGAACCGUACCCCAAACCGACACAGGUGGUUGGGUAGAGAAUACCAAGGCGCUUGAGAGAACUCGGGUGAAGGAACUAGGCAAAAUGGCACCGUAACUUCGGGAGAAGGUGCGCCGGUGAGGGUGAAGGACUUGCUCCGUAAGCUCAUGCCGGUCGAAGAUACCAGGCCGCUGCGACUGUUUAUUAAAAACACAGCACUCUGCAAACACGAAAGUGGACGUAUAGGGUGUGACGCCUGCCCGGUGCCGGAAGGUUAAUUGAUGGGGUUAGCUAACGCGAAGCUCUUGAUCGAAGCCCCGGUAAACGGCGGCCGUAACUAUAACGGUCCUAAGGUAGCGAAAUUCCUUGUCGGGUAAGUUCCGACCUGCACGAAUGGCGUAACGAUGGCGGCGCUGUCUCCACCCGAGACUCAGUGAAAUUGAAAUCGCUGUGAAGAUGCAGUGUAUCCGCGGCUAGACGGAAAGACCCCGUGAACCUUUACUAUAGCUUUGCACUGGACUUUGAAUUUGCUUGUGUAGGAUAGGUGGGAGGCUUUGAAGCGUGGACGCCAGUUCGCGUGGAGCCAUCCUUGAAAUACCACCCUGGCAACUUUGAGGUUCUAACUCAGGUCCGUUAUCCGGAUCGAGGACAGUGUAUGGUGGGUAGUUUGACUGGGGCGGUCUCCUCCUAAAGAGUAACGGAGGAGUACGAAGGUGCGCUCAGACCGGUCGGAAAUCGGUCGUAGAGUAUAAAGGCAAAAGCGCGCUUGACUGCGAGACAGACACGUCGAGCAGGUACGAAAGUAGGUCUUAGUGAUCCGGUGGUUCUGUAUGGAAGGGCCAUCGCUCAACGGAUAAAAGGUACUCCGGGGAUAACAGGCUGAUACCGCCCAAGAGUUCAUAUCGACGGCGGUGUUUGGCACCUCGAUGUCGGCUCAUCACAUCCUGGGGCUGAAGCCGGUCCCAAGGGUAUGGCUGUUCGCCAUUUAAAGUGGUACGCGAGCUGGGUUUAGAACGUCGUGAGACAGUUCGGUCCCUAUCUGCCGUGGACGUUUGAGAUUUGAGAGGGGCUGCUCCUAGUACGAGAGGACCGGAGUGGACGAACCUCUGGUGUUCCGGUUGUCACGCCAGUGGCAUUGCCGGGUAGCUAUGUUCGGGAAAGAUAACCGCUGAAAGCAUCUAAGCGGGAAACUUGCCUCAAGAUGAGAUCUCACUGGAACCUUGA
This 1510-nucleotide ribosomal RNA is filed under the name Pseudomonas sp. PTA1. RNAcentral describes it as "bacterial LSU rRNA". It matches the Rfam family "Bacterial large subunit ribosomal RNA", at positions 1331 to 2831 of the family's 2925-position model. Lineage: Bacteria; Pseudomonadati; Pseudomonadota; Gammaproteobacteria; Pseudomonadales; Pseudomonadaceae. The record is from RNAcentral.